RNAcentral lists this ribosomal RNA (451 nucleotides) under uncultured bacterium. Its description in RNAcentral is "partial 16S ribosomal RNA". It matches the Rfam family "Bacterial small subunit ribosomal RNA", at positions 354 to 796 of the family's 1533-position model. The record is from RNAcentral.
GUGGGGAAUAUUGGACAAUGGGGGGAACCCUGAUCCAGCCAUGCCGCGUGUGUGAAGAAGGCCUUUUGGUUGUAAAGCACUUUAAGCGAGGAGGAGGCUACCGAGAUUAAUACUCUUGGAUAGUGGACGUUACUCGCAGAAUAAGCACCGGCUAACUCUGUGCCAGCAGCCGCGGUAAUACAGAGGGUGCAAGCGUUAAUCGGAUUUACUGGGCGUAAAGCGCGCGUAGGUGGCCAAUUAAGUCAAAUGUGAAAUCCCCGAGGUUAACUUGGGAAUUGCAUUCGAUACUGGUUGGCUAGAGUAUGGGAGAGGAUGGUAGAAUUCCAGGUGUAGCGGUGAAAUGCGUAGAGAUCUGGAGGAAUACCGAUGGCGAAGGCAGCCAUCUGGCCUAAUACUGACACUGAGGUGCGAAAGCAUGGGGAGCAAACAGGAUUAGAAACCCGUGUAGUCC